CGCGCAACACAGACAGGCACGUAACUGUUUUGAGUCUGUCUGGUGUCUGUCUGAAACUGAACAAAUUGGAGAUGGAGUUUUAAGUCUCCAUCUAAAUUGAUAAGAAAUAAUGAAUUCAAUAUGGGAAUUUACAAUCACUCAACAACGCUCGCGAUUGAAUUACAGCGCAAUUUAAAUCAAUAUUUAGGCUGACGCUUUGAAAGUUUUUUCAAUGUUUAUCAUCAGACAAUUCAUUAUUUACAGGUAUCAUCUUCUUCCGUCCUGACAAAAAGCCUAUUUGCCCGAAGUUUAAGCCUAAUGGAGCGUUUCAAUGGAGCAGUUAUUUGAAAGAAGGCCCUUAUGACAUCUUGAACCCUGUACAUAAACCCCAUGUCUGUGGUGAGGACACUGUUCCAUGGCUGAUGGAAGAGUAGCUUGGCAGCAGAUCAAAUCAAAAUCAAAUCAAAGUCUAUUGUUCGAGGACACAGAUUUGCAGAUGUUAUCGCAGGUGCCGCGAAGUGAUUGUGUUUCUAGCUCCAACAGUGCAGUAAUACCUAGAAAUACUUGCAGUAAUACCUAGAAAUACAAUCAUGGGAGAGCGUGGACGCAGUCCCCCACUACCACAAACUAUGCAGUCGAGAUUCCCACAUUUGGGGAAUUCGCAGGGGUCAGCAUGGCCGGAGUGCGAUGGGCGAGACUCGCCGUAGGUGAACCUCCUUCGUGGUCAAGGUGUCUGCCAGGUACACGUGUGAGGAGGAUGGCUGUGCUCUGCACCACGAAGAAGAUGUCAUGCUGAGGAUGGGUUUCUGCACUGAUGUUGUUGGUGUGAUGUACUGUAGCGGUGGCUCUCUCACUGUGUCUCUGUUGGCCAUGAUGCGUAACCAUAGAGAGUGAGUGACAGCCUGGUCUCCACACAGCAUAGGGGGCCUGAGAACCACAGACUCCUUUCAGAAGCAGUGAGGACUGACCAGUCUGCAAGCGAGACACUGGCCUUUCUCCCAUCAUGCCAGUCACUGACUGUUCUAGGCGUUGUGUUCAAAGACUAGUGCCACAAGUAUGGAAAUGCAGAUAAAGCAUUGUAACAAAUGAAAGAGGGAAAAAAAGGGUUAAAUGCCUGGAAAUGGUCACCGUCCACCACUUGUGCCACUGCCUGGUGCAUUUUCUUUUGUUUUGAAAGUUUUGCCAACAUUUUCAGUUGUUGACGGAUCUGUAGAGCGGAGGUAUCUAUCUACACACGCAGAUUAUGAGAGCCCUCAAUGUAAAUAACAUAUUUUUGUUUCUUUGAAUUUAAGAUGACAUUAACAAUGACCUAUCACAGUUUGCUGAUGAUAUGCCCGAAUGUACUCUUUCAGGUAAACAUUCUACAUAGUUUGUUAGAUACGGAAACAUACAACUGCCAUGUAAUGUUUACGAGAAAGCAAUCAAAACAGUAUAAAGCAAGCCUGUUUAGUAUUACGUUUUGCAGGCUAUAUGUUAUUUGGGUAAUUCAUAGAAGCUCUGUAAGUAUGUAAAACAUGUUUUGUUUUUUAUAUUUCCCCCAGAAAUAUCCACAGUAUAUCUAUUGUCUUAAUCAAGUAUCCCCAAACAGUCCAAAUGGAGGAGUAGUCCAAUGGUGGUUUUGGUUAUAUUGUGAUGAUUGAACGAGUUGAACCAGUCGUAGGCUGUGAUAUAAGGCCCACCUGAGUAGUAUGAGAAAGAAUAUGGGAACAUAGCAACAUUUAUCUAGAAUUAUAUCCAAUACAUUUGAUCCAUCUUUAAUUUGUAAAAAAAAAAUGUUUUGUCAAAGUGAUGAAAAAAACAUUAUUCACCAUUUUGUGUAAUGUUGUGAUUGUCCUUCUCAUAAUAAAAAUGAAGACAUACUCAAUUGUGAUGUCUGUGUUUUAAAGUUAUAUGUUU
Molecule: long non-coding RNA, 1875 nt
Filed under: Salmo salar (Atlantic salmon)
Lineage: Eukaryota; Metazoa; Chordata; Actinopteri; Salmoniformes; Salmonidae
Description: lncRNA (ENSSSAG00000092425.1)
Source: RNAcentral